AUUGAACGCUGGCGGCAGGCCUAACACAUGCAAGUCGAACGGAUCCUUCGGGAUUAGUGGCGGACGGGUGAGUAACGCGUGGGAACAUACCCUCUGGUACGGAAUAGCCUCGGGAAACUGGGAGUAAUACCGUACGUGGUCGAGAGACGAAAGAUUUAUCGCCAAAGGAUUGGCCCGCGUUGGAUUAGGUAGUUGGUGGGGUAAUGGCCUACCAAGCCGACCAUCCAUAGCUGGUUUGAGAGGAUGAUCAGCCACACUGGGACUGAGACACGGCCCAGACUCCUACGGGAGGCAGCAGUGGGGAAUCUUAGACAAUGGGGGAAACCCUGAUCUAGCCAUGCCGCGUGAUCGAUGAAGGCCUUAGGGUUGUAAAGAUCUUUCAGGUGGGAAGAUAAUGACUGUACCACCAGAAGAAGCCCCGGCUAACUCCGUGCCAGCAGCCGCCGUAA
Molecule: ribosomal RNA, 449 nt
Filed under: uncultured bacterium
Lineage: Bacteria
Description: partial 16S ribosomal RNA
Rfam family: Bacterial small subunit ribosomal RNA
Source: RNAcentral